RNAcentral lists this transfer RNA (71 nucleotides) under Saccoglossus kowalevskii. RNAcentral's name for it is "tRNA-Gly". It matches the Rfam family "tRNA". From Rfam's summary of the family: Transfer RNA (tRNA) molecules are approximately 80 nucleotides in length. Their secondary structure includes four short double-helical elements and three loops (D, anti-codon, and T loops). Lineage: Eukaryota; Metazoa; Hemichordata; Enteropneusta; Harrimaniidae. The record is from RNAcentral.
GCAUUGGUGGUUCAGUGGUUGAAUUCUCGCCUGCCACGCUGGAGGCCUGGGUUCGAUUCCCGGCCAAUGCA